RNAcentral lists this ribosomal RNA (427 nucleotides) under Vigna tenuicaulis. Its description in RNAcentral is "eukaryotic LSU rRNA". The stretch from base 276 to 427 matches the Rfam family "Eukaryotic large subunit ribosomal RNA", at positions 1 to 154 of the family's 3401-position model. The record is from RNAcentral. Lineage: Eukaryota; Viridiplantae; Streptophyta; Magnoliopsida; Fabales; Fabaceae.
ACUCGAGUCUUUGACGCAGUUGCGCCCGAAGCCACUAGGCCGAGGGCACGCCUGCCUGGGUGUCACACAUCGUCAUCCCCAUGCAAACGCGCAUCGGGGCGAAAGCUGGCCUCCCACGAGUCAACCAUCGUGGUUGGUCGAAAACCAAGGUAAUGUCGGGGUCCCCCCGCGAGAAACGGUGGAUGAGCAAACGCUCGAGACCAAUCGUGGAGACUCGACAAUCCAAUUGAUCGGCCCUAUUGCAUUCUUUGCAGAAAGCAAAGAUGCUCUUAAUGAGACCUCAGGUCAGGCGGGGCUACCCGCUGAGUUUAAGCAUAUCAAUAAGCGGAGGAAAAGAAACUAACAAGGAUUCCCUUAGUAACGGCGAGCGAACCGGGAACAGCCCACCAUGAGAAUCGGUCGCCCUUGGCGUUCGAAUUGUAGUUAA